This 478-nucleotide ribosomal RNA is filed under the name uncultured Glomus. RNAcentral's name for it is "SSU rRNA". It matches the Rfam family "Eukaryotic small subunit ribosomal RNA", at positions 569 to 1051 of the family's 1831-position model. The record is from RNAcentral. Lineage: Eukaryota; Fungi; Glomeromycota; Glomeromycetes; Glomerales; Glomeraceae.
AGCAGCCGCGGUAAUUCCAGCUCCAAUAGCGUAUAUUAAAGUUGUUGCAGUUAAAAAGCUCGUAGUUGAAUUUCGGGAUCAACACGUCGGUCGUGCCUUCGGUACGCACUAGCGUCGUUGGUUCCUCCCUUCUGACGAACCAUGAUGUCAUUAACUUGGUGUUUUGGGGAGUUAGGACUGUUACUUUGAAAAAAUUAGAGUGUUUAAAGCAGGCAAUCGCUUGAAUACAUUAGCAUGGAAUAAUGAAAUAGGACGUUCGAUCCUAUUUCGUUGGUUUCUAGGAUCAACGUAAUGAUUAAUAGGGAUAGUUGGGGGCAUUAGUAUUCAAUUGUCAGAGGUGAAAUUCUUGGAUUUAUUGAAGACUAACUACUGCGAAAGCGUUUGCCAAGGAUGUUUUCAUUAAUCAAGAACGAAAGUUAGGGGAUCGAAGACGAUCAGAUACCGUCGUAGUCUUAACCAUAAACUAUGCCGACUAGGG